GUGCUUCCUUUGGCAACACAAACACUAAAACUGGAAUGAUACAGAGAUUAUGAUGGCCCAUAAGCAAGGAUGACACACAAAUUCACGAAACACUCCAUAUUAUA
Molecule: small nuclear RNA, 104 nt
Organism: Pteronotus mesoamericanus
Lineage: Eukaryota; Metazoa; Chordata; Mammalia; Chiroptera; Mormoopidae
Source: RefSeq, a predicted model, not a curated record